RNAcentral lists this transfer RNA (71 nucleotides) under Dendronephthya gigantea. RNAcentral describes it as "tRNA-Gly". It matches the Rfam family "tRNA". Rfam says of the family: Transfer RNA (tRNA) molecules are approximately 80 nucleotides in length. Their secondary structure includes four short double-helical elements and three loops (D, anti-codon, and T loops). Further hydrogen bonds mediate the characteristic L-shaped molecular structure. tRNAs have two regions of fundamental functional importance: the anti-codon, which is responsible for specific mRNA codon recognition, and the 3' end, to which the tRNAs corresponding amino acid is attached (by aminoacyl-tRNA synthetases). tRNAs cope with the degeneracy of the genetic code in two manners: having more than one tRNA (with a specific anti-codon) for a particular amino acid; and 'wobble' base-pairing, i.e. permitting non-standard base-pairing at the 3rd anti-codon position. The record is from RNAcentral. Lineage: Eukaryota; Metazoa; Cnidaria; Anthozoa; Malacalcyonacea; Nephtheidae.
GCGCUGGUGGUUCAGUGGUAGAAUUCUCGCCUGCCACGCGGGAAACCAGGGUUCGAUUCCCCGCUAGCGCA